RNAcentral lists this transfer RNA (73 nucleotides) under Pteropus alecto (black flying fox). It matches the Rfam family "tRNA". Rfam says of the family: Transfer RNA (tRNA) molecules are approximately 80 nucleotides in length. Their secondary structure includes four short double-helical elements and three loops (D, anti-codon, and T loops). Lineage: Eukaryota; Metazoa; Chordata; Mammalia; Chiroptera; Pteropodidae. The record is from Rfam by way of RNAcentral.
GGCUUCAUUGUGUAGUAGUUAGCAUGACUACUUUGCAUGCAGAAGUCCUGGGUUUGCAGCCCAGGUGGAGCCA